ACCAGAGUACUAUGAAUAUGAAAAAUUUAAAACUCAAAGAACUUGGCGGUGUUUUAGACCACUUAGGGGAACCUGUCUCAUAAUCGAUAAUCCACGUUAUACCUGACCUUUUUUUGUUAUCAGUUUGUAUACCGUUGUCGUCAGGUAACUUUUUAGAAUUUAGAAGUUAGCAAUUAAGAAAAAUAAAAAUAAUCCGUUACGUCAAAUCAAGGUGCAGCUAAUAGAAAGGGGAGGAUGGGUUACAAUUAUAUAAAUCAUAAUAACGGAUAGGGGCAUGAAAUUUAUGUCAGCUGUAAGGUGGACUUAAAAGUAAAUUAAAUUACAUAAGCAAUUUGAAUAAGGCUCUGAAACGCGU
Molecule: ribosomal RNA, 355 nt
Filed under: Punctoterebra solangeae
Lineage: Eukaryota; Metazoa; Mollusca; Gastropoda; Neogastropoda; Terebridae
Description: partial 12S ribosomal RNA
Source: RNAcentral